AGAUUGAACGCUGGCGGCAUGCCUAACACAUGCAAGUCGAACGGUAACGCGGGGGCAACCCUGGCGACGAGUGGCGGACGGGUGAGUAAUACGUAGGAAUCUGCCCAUUUGUGGGGGAUAACCCGGCGAAAGCCGGGCUAAUACCGCAUACGCUCUACGGAGGAAGCGGGGGAUCGUAAGACCUCGCGCUAAUGGAUGAGCCUACGUCGGAUUAGCUAGUUGGUAGGUAACGCCUACAAGGCACGAUCCGUAGCUGGUCUGAGAGGACGAUCAGCCACACUGGGACUGAGACACGGCCAGACUCCGACGGGACGCAGCGAGGUAGGGAAUUAGUGGAACUAAGGUCGGGGACCAACCCGUGACUCCGAGCAAGUCGCCGUCGUGUGUAGGAAGAACGGCCUGGUCGGUUAGAAGCUACUUACGAGGUAAGGGAAAAGAAAAAGUCGGAAGACUAACC
RNAcentral lists this ribosomal RNA (457 nucleotides) under uncultured soil bacterium. RNAcentral describes it as "bacterial SSU rRNA". It matches the Rfam family "Bacterial small subunit ribosomal RNA", at positions 26 to 480 of the family's 1533-position model. The record is from RNAcentral.